CUGACUUGUAUUCUCGCUGCCC
This 22-nucleotide microRNA is filed under the name Spodoptera frugiperda (fall armyworm). RNAcentral's name for it is "sfr-miR-10465-3p". The record is from miRBase by way of RNAcentral. Lineage: Eukaryota; Metazoa; Arthropoda; Insecta; Lepidoptera; Noctuidae.